Molecule: ribosomal RNA, 254 nt
Filed under: uncultured bacterium
Lineage: Bacteria
Description: partial 16S ribosomal RNA
Rfam family: Bacterial small subunit ribosomal RNA
Source: RNAcentral
UACGGGGGGAGCAAGCGUUGUUCGGAUUUACUGGGCGUAAAGGGCGCGUAGGCGGCCAGCACAAGUCAGUUGUGAAAUCUCCGAGCUUAACUCGGAAAGGUCAACUGAUACUGUGCGGCUAGAGUGCGGAAGGGGCAACUGGAAUUCUUGGUGUAGCGGUGAAAUGCGCAGAUAUCAGGAAGAACACCAAUGGCGAAAGCAGCUCUCUGGGACGGUACUGACGCUGAGACGCGAAAGCGUGGGGAGCGAACAGG